ACAAAGAUGGCCGCAAGUAAGAAGAUCUGGGUCGUUGUCAAACGAUUUGAUGUGGAUGAUGAAAUUGCAGACAGUGAUCAUGGUGAUGCAGCGUCUAUGGACAUCAAUGACAACGAGGACACUGAAAUGGUCAGACUCGCACUGAGAAAUACAUUCAGCAUCAGCGAUCCGGACCUCAUCCUCAAGUUGCGGAACACGAGGGGUUCCCUCAUCCCAAUCAACAGCAGGAUUGAGGCCAACUCGAACGAUGUACCCUAUGUACUGGAGGUUGUGAGACUCUAUCAAAAUGUGAUGCCAUGUGAGAGGUCAGUCCAGCUCAGCAGAUACAGGGACACUGUCAGGACCAAACUGUCCGAGAUAACCAUGAGGCUGCAGGCUCUGGAAACAGCCACACCAGAACUGAACAACAGACGCUCAGAGAAAAUCAAAGCUGAGAUGGGGAGCUGGACCAGAAGAUUGAGUUCCUGAAGAAGAGGAUCAGCGAUGCCGACAGCGCCAACUGGCGGGGCAUGUUCAAGAAGAACCCAAUGUGGUGAUCCUAGGUGGAGGACGGUCAACACCACACCCACCUAGAGGACACUGGAUGUAGGAUGUGAUACAUGAUUCGGACCUUGAAACAGUGGACGGCAGAAUAUUUGCCUGUGUUACUAAUGGUUGUUACUACAGUUGCAGAUUGCCCUUGCUUGGGCAAGCUAGGUGAAAGUGUUCAGUCUUUCCAAAUAUAUAUGGACACCUGAUGAAUAUGACUUGUACAGUCCAUGGUAGCAUUGUUCACGACCUUCAAUGGUGGUGAUUGAAGUGGAAUUGUUCAUAAACAUCAUGGGCGAUCAAAGUUGCCUUGUACAUGACCAUCAGAAAUUGUCAAAGUGGCAUUGUUCAUGAUCAUCUCUCAUGUUAAUCAAACUGGCAUUGUUCAUAAACAUCAUUGGAGGUGAUCAAAGUGGCAUUGUUCAUGACCAUCAUUAGCAAUGAUCGAAGUGGCAUUGUUCAUAAACAUCACUGGAGGUGAUCAAAGUGGCAUUGUUCAUGACCAUCAUUAGCAAUGAUCAAAGUGACAAUGUUCAUGACCAUCAUUAGCAAUGAUCAAAAUGACAUUGUUCAUAAACAACAUUAGCAAUGAUCAAAGUGACAUUGUUCAUGACCAUCAUUAGUAAUGAUCAAAGUGGCAUUGUUCAUGACCAUCAUUAGCAAUGAUCAAAGUGACAAUGUUCAUGACCAUCAUUAGCAAUGAUCAAAAUGACAUUGUUCAUAAACAACAUUAGCAAUGAUCAAAGUGACAUUGUUCAUGACCAUCAUUAGUAAUGAUCAAAGUGGCAUUGUUCAUGACCAUCAUUAGUAAUGAUCAAAGUGGCAUUGUUCAUGACCAUCAUUAGUAAUGAUCAAAGUGGCAUUGUUCAUGACCAUCAUUAGUAAUGAUCAAAGUGGCAUUGUUCAUGACCAUCAUUAGUAAUGAUCAAAGUGGCAAUGUUCAUAAACAUCAUUAGUAAUUAUCAAAGAGGCAUUAGCCACCACCAUCAAAGUUACAUAACCCAGCCUCAUAAAAAAGUAACUAUACCAGACAAUGUAAUUUCAAGUGUUUUCUGUGUAUUAUUUGUGAUGAGCUUCACUGGACGUUUGUCCAUAGUAUAGACAUUGCUUUGAUUCAAACCAUCGGUAUCUUAUCAAAUUCACCAUUUGCACCAUUAAUCAUUGAAAAGGCUGAUCACAGGUGAUCAUCAAGCUGACAACUUGGGUGGAUCUAAUGGCGACAUCGAAGUGACUCACGGUCACGUCAUCGUGACCUCGUACUGACCUCAUUCUGACCUCAUAGUGAUUCAUCGUUACAUCAUAGGGCAAAGUUCAAGGCAUGUUCCGAUAUAGAAUGUGAUAUAAGCUGCCAUUUUGUUUCCAUAGAUAUACUACAUCAUUCAGUUCCUUCACAAGGUCAUUCCACCACAUGCCAGCUUUAGAAACUGUGGCUGAAACCAACAAGAUUGUACAUUAUUGACCUCUUCUUAG
Molecule: unclassified non-coding RNA, 1998 nt
Filed under: Haliotis rubra (blacklip abalone)
Lineage: Eukaryota; Metazoa; Mollusca; Gastropoda; Lepetellida; Haliotidae
Description: uncharacterized LOC124290080, transcript variant X1
Source: RNAcentral